AAACUUAUGGCAACUGGAAACAUAAAAAUUCCAGUGGGUUCCAGGUGGUUUUCCCGGGCAGCACUUACUCACUGCACUCCAGGCGUGCUGACCUCUGUGGUUGCCCCAGCGUGGGAACUUCAACUGCAUCACUGGUGGUAGUGGGGGACCGCAUUGGUGCUUUCCCCUA
Molecule: small nuclear RNA, 169 nt
Organism: Octodon degus (degu)
Lineage: Eukaryota; Metazoa; Chordata; Mammalia; Rodentia; Octodontidae
Gene: U1
Rfam family: U1 spliceosomal RNA
About the family: U1 is a small nuclear RNA (snRNA) component of the spliceosome (involved in pre-mRNA splicing). Its 5' end forms complementary base pairs with the 5' splice junction, thus defining the 5' donor site of an intron.
Source: Ensembl